RNAcentral lists this ribosomal RNA (466 nucleotides) under uncultured bacterium. Its description in RNAcentral is "partial 16S ribosomal RNA". It matches the Rfam family "Bacterial small subunit ribosomal RNA", at positions 28 to 507 of the family's 1533-position model. The record is from RNAcentral.
GACGAACGCUGGCGGCGUGCUUAACACAUGCAAGUCGAACGGAAAGGCCCUGCUUGCAGGGUACUCGAGUGGCGAACGGGUGAGUAACACGUGGGUGAUCUGCCCUGCACUUCGGGAUAAGCUUGGGAAACUGGGUCUAAUACCGGAUAGGAGCCAUCUUUAGUGUGGUGGUUGGAAAGUUUUUUCGGUGUAGGAUGAGCUCGCGGCCUAUCAGCUUGUUGGUGGGGUAAUGGCCUACCAAGGCGGCGACGGGUAGCCGGCCUGAGAGGGUGUACGGCCACAUUGGGACUGAGAUACGGCCCAGACUCCUACGGGAGGCAGCAGUGGGGAAUAUUGCACAAUGGGCGCGAGCCUGAUGCAGCGACGCCGCGUGGGGGAUGAAGGCCUUCGGGUUGUAAACUCCUUUCGCUAGGGACGAAGCUUUUUUGUGACGGUACCUAGAUAAGAAGCACCGGCUAACUACGUG